Molecule: unclassified non-coding RNA, 279 nt
Filed under: plant metagenome
Description: partial contains small subunit ribosomal RNA, internal transcribed spacer 1, and 5.8S ribosomal RNA
Source: RNAcentral
UUUCCGUAGGUGAACCUGCGGAAGGAUCAUUAUUAAAUUCAAAACGUAGAGGACUCGUGCUGUUGGCGCCUUCACCGCCUGCACGCUACGACCGAUACAUUUACACCUGUGGACCUUUGUUCCUCAGAUAGUCGGUUCUUUUCACUCACACCUGAAAACCUUAGAUUGUUCUUUAUACAAAUUAUGACAACUUUCAACAACGGAUCUCUUGGCUCUCGCAUCGAUGAAAAACUCAGCAAAUCGUAACAGGACACUGCUGAACUCGAAACACGCAGAUCA